CUGAGGGGGGGCUGAAUUGUUUUGAAUUAAUCCUUUUUUAUGUUAAUUAGGAUAUCUGGUGAACUUUGGAGAAAUUUAAUAAAAGUUUAAUAAAUUGGUUUAAAUUUAUUUUUAUAUAAGUUUUAAAAUUUAAAUAAUUUAUUUUUAUAUUUUGAAAUUAAUUUAUAAAGGUAACUUUAUUUUAGUAUAUAUUUAUAUGAAUAGUUAAUUUUGUGCCAGCAGCUGCGGUUAUACAAAAAUUUUAAUUAAUUUUUAUUUUAUGUUUAAUUUAAUUUUUUUUUAAUUUAAAUUUAAUUUUAUAGGGUGAAAUUCUUUAAAAUUAGUUUAUUUAUUUUAUUAAUGUUAAAAAAAAAUAACUUUAAGACUAGGAUUAGAUACCCUAUUAUUUAUUUGAAAAAGUUGUAGUGAAUAAAGUAUAUAUUCUUGAAAGUUAAAAUAUAUGGCGGUAUUUAAAUCUUUUCAGAGGAACUUGUUAAUUAAUUGAUAUUACACGAUUUAAUUUACUUUAGUUUAUGGGUUGUAUAUCGUUGUGAUAAAUUAUUUUUAAAUAAUAAAUAAUAUUUAAUAAAUUUAAUUUAAUUAUUAAUCAAAUCAAGAUGCAUUUUAUACUGAAGCUUUAAUGAGUUACAAUAAAUUUAUUUAUGGGUUGGUUUAAUUACUUUUACUAAUAAAUUGGAUUUGAUAGUAAUUUUAUUUAAAUUUUUAAUUUGACUUAAGAUCUUAAAUAUGUACAUAUUGCCCGUCGCUCUAAUUUAUUAGAUAAGUCGUAACAAAGUAAGUGUACCGGAAGGUGUACUUAGAAAGUU
This 806-nucleotide non-coding RNA is filed under the name Microrhagus sp. ZM-2022. Lineage: Eukaryota; Metazoa; Arthropoda; Insecta; Coleoptera; Eucnemidae. The record is from RNAcentral.